GAUGAAGAACGUAGCGAAAUGCGAUAAGUAAUGUGAAUUGCAGAAUUCAGUGAAUCAUCGAAUCUUUGAACGCACCUUGCGCCCUUUGGCUAUUCCGAAGGGCAUGCCUGUUUGAGUAUCGUGAACACCUCAACUCUCAUGGUUUGCCAUGAUGAGCUUGGACUUUGGGGGUUUUGCUGGCCUUUGGUCGGCUCCUCUCAAACGGAUCAGCUUUCCAGUGUUUGGUGGCGUCACGGGUGUGAUAACUAUCUACGCCUGUGGUUUUCUGCCAGAUAACCUUCAGCGAUGGAGGUUCGCUGGGGCUCAUAAAUGUCUCUCUUCAGUGGAGACAGCUUUUUGGACGUUUGAUCUCAAAUCAGGUAGGACUACCCGCUGAACUUAAGCAUAUCAAUAAGGGAGGA
RNAcentral lists this unclassified non-coding RNA (401 nucleotides) under soil metagenome. RNAcentral describes it as "partial contains 5.8S ribosomal RNA, internal transcribed spacer 2, and large subunit ribosomal RNA". The stretch from base 1 to 121 matches the Rfam family "5.8S ribosomal RNA", at positions 35 to 154 of the family's 154-position model. The record is from RNAcentral.